AAUUCUCAACCUUUAUCAGCUUUUGCUGAUGAUGGCUUGGAUGUGGGGGUUUAUUUUGCUGGCUUCUUUACAGAUAGUCAGCUCCCCUUAAAUGCAUUAGCCGGUGCCCCGCGUGGACUGUCUAUUGGUGUGAUAAUUAUCUACGCCGUGGACAUCUGCAAUCAUAUGGGUUUGCACUGCUUCCAAUCGUCUGUUCAAUCAGACAAUACAUGACA
RNAcentral lists this unclassified non-coding RNA (215 nucleotides) under uncultured Hebeloma. Its description in RNAcentral is "sequence contains ITS2". Lineage: Eukaryota; Fungi; Basidiomycota; Agaricomycetes; Agaricales; Cortinariaceae. The record is from RNAcentral.